UACGGGGGGGGCAAGCGUUGUCCGGAUUUACUGGGCGUAAAGGGCUCGUAGGCGGCCAACUAAGUCAUACGUGAAAUCCCUCAGCUUAACUGGGGAACUGCGUGUGAUACUGGAUGGCUUGGAUUUGGGAGAGGGAUGCGGAAUUCCAGGUGUAGCGGUGAAAUGCGUAGAUAUCUGGAGGAACACCGGUGGCGAAGGCGGCAUCCUGGACCAAUAUUGACGCUGAGGAGCGAAAGCCAGGGGAGCAAACGGG
This 253-nucleotide ribosomal RNA is filed under the name uncultured bacterium. RNAcentral's name for it is "partial 16S ribosomal RNA". It matches the Rfam family "Bacterial small subunit ribosomal RNA", at positions 524 to 776 of the family's 1533-position model. The record is from RNAcentral.